This 375-nucleotide ribosomal RNA is filed under the name uncultured organism. RNAcentral describes it as "partial 16S ribosomal RNA". It matches the Rfam family "Bacterial small subunit ribosomal RNA", at positions 527 to 896 of the family's 1533-position model. The record is from RNAcentral.
GUAGGUGGCAAGCGUUGUCCGGAAUUAUUGGGCGUAAAGCGCGCGCAGGCGGUUUUUUAAGUCUGAUGUGAAAGCCCACGGCUCAACCGUGGAGGGUCAUUGGAAACUGGAGAACUUGAGUACAGAAGAGGAAAGCGGAAUUCCACGUGUAGCGGUGAAAUGCGUAGAGAUGUGGAGGAACACCAGUGGCGAAGGCGGCUUUCUGGUCUGUAACUGACGCUGAGGCGCGAAAGCGUGGGGAGCAAACAGGGAUUAGAUACCCUGGUACGUCCACGCCGUAAACGAUGAGUGCUAAGUGUUAGGGGGUUUCCCGCCCCUUAGUGCUGCAGCUAACGCAUUAAGCACUCCGCCUGGGGAGUACGGCCCGCAAGGCUG